GUCUACAGCCAUGCUACCCUGAACAAGCCCGAUCCCAUCUGAUCUCGGAAGCAAAGCAGGGUCAGGCCUGGUUAAUACUUGGAUGGGAGACUACCUAGGAAGACCAGGUGCUGUAGGUG
RNAcentral lists this ribosomal RNA (119 nucleotides) under Pteropus alecto (black flying fox). The record is from RNAcentral. Lineage: Eukaryota; Metazoa; Chordata; Mammalia; Chiroptera; Pteropodidae.